GCCAGGCAUGGUGAUGCGUGCCUGUAGUCCCAGCUACUUGGAGGCUAAGAUGAGAGAAUUCCUUGAGCCUGGGAGGUUCCAGGCUGCAGUGAGCUAUGACCAUGACACUGCACUCUAGCCUGGGUGACAGAGAAAGACCUUGUCUCUA
Pongo abelii (Sumatran orangutan) is the source of this 148-nucleotide unclassified non-coding RNA. It matches the Rfam family "Metazoan signal recognition particle RNA". Rfam says of the family: The signal recognition particle (SRP) is a universally conserved ribonucleoprotein. It is involved in the co-translational targeting of proteins to membranes. Lineage: Eukaryota; Metazoa; Chordata; Mammalia; Primates; Hominidae. The record is from Ensembl.